This 497-nucleotide ribosomal RNA is filed under the name uncultured bacterium. RNAcentral's name for it is "partial 16S ribosomal RNA". It matches the Rfam family "Bacterial small subunit ribosomal RNA", at positions 28 to 507 of the family's 1533-position model. The record is from RNAcentral.
GACGAACGCUGGCGGCGUGCCUAAUACAUGCCAGUUGAGCGCUGAAGGUUGGUACUUGUACCAACUGGAUGAGCAGCGAACGGGUGAGUAACGCGUGGGGAAUCUGCCUUUGAGCGGGGGACAACAUUUGGAAACGAAUGCUAAUACCGCAUAAAAACUUUAAACACAAGUUUUAAGUUUGAAAGAUGCAAUUGCAUCACUCAAAGAUGAUCCCGCGUUGUAAUAGCUAGUUGGUGAGGUAAAGGCUCACCAAGGCGAUGAUACAUAGCCGACCUGAGAGGGUGGUCGGCCACAUUGGGACUGAGACACGGCCCAAACUCCUACGGGGGGCAGCAGUAGGGGAUCUUCGGCAAUGGACGAAAGUCUGACCGGGCAACGCCGCGUGAGUGAAGAAGGUUUUCGGAUCGUAAAACUCUGUUGGUAGAGAAGAACGUUGGUGGGAGUGGAAAGCUCAUCAAGUGACGGUAACUACCCAGAAAGGGACGGCUAACUACGUG